RNAcentral lists this ribosomal RNA (111 nucleotides) under Paramormyrops kingsleyae. Lineage: Eukaryota; Metazoa; Chordata; Actinopteri; Osteoglossiformes; Mormyridae. The record is from RNAcentral.
GUCAGCAGCCAUAUGUCCUGCAAUUUUGACUAGAUAAUCCAUCUGAAGCUAAGCAGGUUUGGACUUGGCUAGUACCUGGAUGGGAGACUAGUUAGGAAAGCUGAUCUGACA